This 1369-nucleotide ribosomal RNA is filed under the name uncultured bacterium. RNAcentral describes it as "bacterial SSU rRNA". It matches the Rfam family "Bacterial small subunit ribosomal RNA". The record is from RNAcentral.
GAGUUUGAUCCUGGCUCACGACGAACGCUGGCGGCGCGCCUAACACAUGCAAGUCGAACGAGCGAGAGAGAGCUUGCUUCCUCAAGCGAGUGGCGAACGGGUGAGUAACGCGGGAGGAACCUGCCUCAAAGAGGGGGACAACAGUUGGAAACGACUGCUAAUACCGCAUAAGCCCACAGCUCGGCAUCGAGCAGAGGGAAAAGGAGCAAUCCGCUUUGAGAUGGCCUCGCGUCCGAUUAGCUAGUUGGUGAGGUAACGGCCCACCAAGGCAACGAUCGGUAGCCGGACUGAGAGGUUGAACGGCCACAUUGGGACUGAGACACGGCCCAUACUCCUACGGGAGGCAGCAGUGGGGAAUAUUGCACAAUGGGGGAAACCCUGAUGCAGCGACGCCGCGUGGAGGAAGAAGGUCUUCGGAUUGUAAACUCCUGUUGUUGAGGAAGAUAAUGACGGUACUCAACAAGGAAGUGACGGCUAACUACGUGCCAGCACCCGCGGUAAAACGUACGUCACAAGCGUCGUCCGGAAUUACUGGGUGUCAAGGCAGCGCACGCGGGAACACCAGUUGGAACUGAAAUCUAUGGGCUCAACCCAUAAACUGCUUCCACAACCGUCUUUCUCGACUUACUGCACACGUCAGCGGAAUUCCCGGUGUAGCGGUGGAAUGCGUAGAUAUCGGGAGGAACACCAGUGGCGAAGGCGGCCUACUGGGCACCAACUGACGCUGAGGCUCGAAAGUGUGGGUAGCAAACAGGAUUAGAUACCCUGGUAGUCCACACCGUAAACGGUGAUUACUAGGUGUUGGAGGAUUGACCCCUUCAGUGCCGCAGUUAACACAAUAAGUAAUCCACCUGGGGAGUACGACCGCAAGGUUGAAACUCAAAGGAAUUGACGGGGGCCCGCACAAGCAGUGGAGUAUGUGGUUUAAUUCGACGCAACGCGAAGAACCUUACCAAGUCUUGACAUCCUGCGACGCACAUAGAAAUAUGUGUUUCCUUCGGGACGCAGAGACAGGUGGUGCAUGGUUGUCGUCAGCUCGUGUCGUGAGAUGUUGGGUUAAGUCCCGCAACGAGCGCAACCCUUACUGUCAGUUACUACGCAAGAGGACUCUGGCAGGACUGCCGUUGACAAAACGGAGGAAGGUGGGGAUGACGUCAAAUCAUCAUGCCCUUUAUGACUUGGGCUACACACGUACUACAAUGGCGUUAAACAAAGAGAAGCAAGACCGCGAGGUGGAGCAAAACUCAGAAACAACGUCCCAGUUCGGACUGCAGGCUGCAACUCGCCUGCACGAAGUCGGAAUUGCUAGUAAUCGUGGAUCAGCAUGCCACGGUGAAUACGUUCCCGGGCCUUGUACACACCGCCCGUC